Molecule: ribosomal RNA, 693 nt
Filed under: uncultured organism
Description: SSU rRNA
Rfam family: Bacterial small subunit ribosomal RNA
Source: RNAcentral
GACGAACGCUGGCGGCGUGCUUAACACAUGCAAGUCGAACGAAGAGCGAUGGAAGCUUGCUUCUAUCAAUCUUAGUGGCGAAUGGGUGAGUAACGCGUAAUCAACCUGCCCUUCUGAGGGGGACAACAGUUGGAAACGACUGCUAAUACCGCAUACGAUCUAACCUCGGCAUCGAGGAUAGAUGAAAGGUGGCCUCUAUUUAUAAGCUAUCACUGAAGGAGGGGAUUGCGUCUGAUUAGCUAGUUGGAGGGGUAACGGCCCACCAAGGCGAUGAUCAGUAGCCGGUCUGAGAGGAUGAACGGCCACAUUGGGACUGAGACACGGCCCAGACUCCUACGGGAGGCAGCAGUGGUGAAUCUUCCGCAAUGGACGAAAGUCUGACGGAGCAACGCCGCGUGAGUGAUGACGGCCUUCGGGUUGUAAAGCUCUGUUAAUCGGGACGAAAGGCCUUCUUGCGAAUAGUUAGAAGGAUUGACGGUACCGGAAUAGAAAGCCACGGCUAACUACGUGCAGCAGCCGCGGUAAUACGUAGGUGGCAAGCGUUGUCCGGAAUUAUUGGGCGUAAAGCGCGCGCAGGCGGAUUGGUCAGUCUGUCUUAAAAGUUCGGGGCUUAACCCCGUGAUGGGAUGGAAACUGCCAAUCUAGAGUAUCGGAGAGGGAAGUGGAAUUCCUAGUGUAGCGGUGAAAUGCGUG